Molecule: ribosomal RNA, 207 nt
Filed under: uncultured bacterium
Lineage: Bacteria
Description: partial 16S ribosomal RNA
Rfam family: Bacterial small subunit ribosomal RNA
Source: RNAcentral
CGCGUAGGCGGCCCUGCUUGUCCGGCGUGAAAUCCCAGGGCUCAACCUUGGGGCUGCGCUGGAGGCGGCGGGGCUGGAGGCAAGGAGAGGCUCGCGGAAUUCCCAGUGUAGAGGUGAAAUUCGUAGAUAUUGGGAAGAACACCGGUGGCGAAGGCGGCGAGCUGGCCUUGAUCUGACGCUGAGGCGCGACAGCGUGGGGAGCAAACA